ACAUGCAAGCGAACGGCAGCAUGGUGCUUGCACCUGAUGGCGAGUGGCGAACGGGUGAGUAAUGCGAUCGGGAACGUACCCGGAAGUGGGGGAUAACGUAGCGAAAGUUACGCUAAUACCGCAUAUUCUGUGAGCAGGAAAGCGGGGAUCGCAAGACCUCGCGCUUCCGGAGCGGCCGAUGUCGGAUUAGCUAGUUGGCGGGUAAAGGCCCACCAAGGCAACGAUCCGUAGCGGGUCUGAGAGGAUGAUCCGCCACACUGGGACUGAGACACGGCCCAGACUCCUACGGGAGGCAGCAGUGGGGAAUUUUGGACAAUGGGCGCAAGCCUGAUCCAGCCAUGCCGCGUGAGUGAAGAAGGCCUUCGGGUUGUAAAGCUCUUUCGGCUGGGAAGAAAUCGCAUCUCCUAAUACGGGGUGUGGAUGACGGUACCAGCAUAAGAAGCACCGGCUAACUACGUGCCAGCAGCCGCGGUAAUACGU
RNAcentral lists this ribosomal RNA (480 nucleotides) under uncultured bacterium. Its description in RNAcentral is "bacterial SSU rRNA". It matches the Rfam family "Bacterial small subunit ribosomal RNA", at positions 53 to 528 of the family's 1533-position model. The record is from RNAcentral.